AUUGAACGCUGGCGGCAUGCCUUACACAUGCAAGUCGAACGGAAACUGCCCUUCUGGUGCCGGCGAGUGGCGUGCGGGGGGGUAAUACGCCGUUCCGUGCCCGAUCGUGGGGGGUAACGGGGCGUAAUCUUUGCUAAUACCGCAUACGAUCUACGGAUUCAAGCAGGGGUCCGCCAGGGCUUGCGCGGACGGAUCGGGCGAUGGUAGCUUAGGUAGUCGGUGGGCUAAAAGCUUACCAAGAUGACGAUCUGUAACUCGUCUGAGAGGAUGAUCCGCCACACUGGGACUGAGACACGGCCGAGACUCCUACGGGAGGAAGCAGUGGGGAAUUCUGGACGAUGGGGGCAAGCGGGAUCCAGGCAUGCCGCGUGCAGGAUGAAGGCCUUCGGGUUGUAAACUGCUUUUGUACGUAGCGAAAAGCCUUCUUUUAAUACAGGAGGGUCAUGACGGUACCGGAAGAAGAAGCACCGGCUAACUACGUG
RNAcentral lists this ribosomal RNA (482 nucleotides) under uncultured bacterium. Its description in RNAcentral is "partial 16S ribosomal RNA". It matches the Rfam family "Bacterial small subunit ribosomal RNA", at positions 30 to 507 of the family's 1533-position model. The record is from RNAcentral.